GGGUUGUGAGGUUAAGCGACUAAGCGUACACGGUGGAUGCCUAGGCAGUCAGAGGCGAUGAAGGGCGUGCUAAUCUGCGAUAAGCGUCGGUAAGCUGAUAUGAAGCGUUAUACCCGACGAUACCCGAAUGGGGAAACCCAGUGUGUUUCGACACACUAUCAUGACAUGAAUACAUAGUGUCAUGAGGCGAACCGGGGGAACUGAAACAUCUCAGUACCCCGAGGAAAAGAAAUCAACCGAGAUUCCCCCAGUAGCGGCGAGCGAACGGGGAGGAGCCCAGAACCUGAAUCAGUUUGUGUGUUAGUGGAAGCGUCUGGAAAGUCGCACAGUAAAGGGUGAUAGUCCCGUACACAAAAAUGCACAAGUUGUGAGUUCGAUGAGUAGGGCGGGACACGUGACAUCCUGUCUGAAUAUGGGGGGACCAUCCUCCAAGGCUAAAUACUCCUGACUGACCGAUAGUGAACCAGUACCGUGAGGGAAAGGCGAAAAGAACCCCGGCGAGGGGAGUGAAAUAGAACCUGAAACCGUGUACGUACAAGCAGUGGGAGCCUACUUGUUAGGUGACUGCGUACCUUUUGUAUAAUGGGUCAGCGACUUAUAUUCUGUAGCAAGGUUAACCGUAUAGGGGAGCCGCAGGGAAACCGAGUCUUAACUGGGCGUUAAGUUGCAGGGUAUAGACCCGAAACCCGGUGAUCUAGCCAUGGGCAGGUUGAAGGUUGGGUAACACUAACUGGAGGACCGAACCGACUAAUGUUGAAAAAUUAGCGGAUGACUUGUGGCUGGGGGUGAAAGGCCAAUCAAACCGGGAGAUAGCUGGUUCUCCCCGAAAGCUAUUUAGGUAGCGCCUCGUGAAUUCAUCUUCGGGGGUAGAGCACUGUUUCGGCUAGGGGGUCAUCCCGACUUACCAACCCGAUGCAAACUACGAAUACCGAAGAAUGUUAUCACGGGAGACACACGGCGGGUGCUAACGUUCGUCGUGAAGAGGGAAACAACCCAGACCGCCAGCUAAGGUCCCAAAGUCAUGGUUAAGUGGGAAACGAUGUGGGAAGGCAUAGACAGCCAGGAUGUUGGCUUAGAAGCAGCCAUCAUUUAAAGAAAGCGUAAUAGCUCACUGGUCGAGUCGGCCUGCGCGGAAGAUGUAACGGGGCUAAACCAUGCACCGAAGCUGCGGCAGCGACACGUAGUGUUGUUGGGUAGGGGAGCGUUCUGUAAGCCUGCGAAGGUGGCCUGUGAGGGCUGCUGGAGGUAUCAGAAGUGCGAAUGCUGACAUAAGUAACGAUAAUGCGGGUGAAAAACCCGCACGCCGGAAGACCAAGGGUUCCUGUCCAACGUUAAUCGGGGCAGGGUGAGUCGACCCCUAAGGCGAGGCUGAAAAGCGUAGUCGAUGGGAAACAGGUUAAUAUUCCUGUACUCGGUGUUACUGCGAAGGGGGGACGGAGAAAGCUAGGUUAUCCGGGCGACGGUUGUCCCGGUUUAAGCGUGAAGGUGGGUGACUUUGGUAAAUCCGGGUCAUCGUUAACACUGAGGCGUGAUGACGAGUCACUACGGUGAUGAAGUAACCGAUGCUACGCUUCCAGGAAAAGCCUCUAAGCUCCAGGUAACAUCAAAUCGUACCCCAAACCGACACAGGUGGUCAGGUAGAGAAUACUCAGGCGCUUGAGAGAACUCGGGUGAAGGAACUAGGCAAAAUGGUGCCGUAACUUCGGGAGAAGGCACGCUGAUGGUAGGUGAAGUGACUUGCUCAUGGAGCUGAAAUCAGUCGAAGAUACCAGCUGGCUGCAACUGUUUAAUAAAAACACAGCACUGUGCAAACACGAAAGUGGACGUAUACGGUGUGACGCCUGCCCGGUGCCGGAAGGUUAAUUGAUGGGGUCAGCCGCAAGGCGAAGCUCUUGAUCGAAGCCCCGGUAAACGGCGGCCGUAACUAUAACGGUCCUAAGGUAGCGAAAUUCCUUGUCGGGUAAGUUCCGACCUGCACGAAUGGCGUAAUGAUGGCCAGGCUGUCUCCACCCGAGACUCAGUGAAAUUGAACUCGCUGUGAAGAUGCAGUGUACCCGCGGCAAGACGGAAAGACCCCGUGAACCUUUACUAUAGCUUGACACUGAACCUUGAGCCUUGAUGUGUAGGAUAGGUGGGAGGCUUUGAAGCGUGGACGCCAGUCUGCGUGGAGCCAACCUUGAAAUACCACCCUUUAAUGUUUGAUGUUCUAACGUGGACCCGUAAUCCGGGUUGCGGACAGUGUCUGGUGGGUAGUUUGACUGGGGCGGUCUCCUCCCAAAGCGUAACGGAGGAGCACGAAGGUUAGCUAAUCCUGGUCGGACAUCAGGAGGUUAGUGCAAAGGCAUAAGCUAGCUUGACUGCGAGAGUGACAGCUCGAGCAGGUGCGAAAGCAGGUCUUAGUGAUCCGGUGGUUCUGAAUGGAAGGGCCAUCGCUCAACGGAUAAAAGGUACUCCGGGGAUAACAGGCUGAUACCGCCCAAGAGUUCAUAUCGACGGCGGUGUUUGGCACCUCGAUGUCGGCUCAUCACAUCCUGGGGCUGAAGUAGGUCCCAAGGGUAUGGCUGUUCGCCAUUUAAAGUGGUACGCGAGCUGGGUUUAGAACGUCGUGAGACAGUUCGGUCCCUAUCUGCCGUGGGCGUUGGAAGAUUGAGAGGGGUUGCUCCUAGUACGAGAGGACCGGAGUGAACGCACCACUGGUGUACGGGUUGUGAUGCCAAUUGCAUUGCCCGGUAGCUAAGUGCGGAAGAGAUAACCGCUGAAAGCAUCUAAGCGGGAAACUUGCCUCGAGAUGAGUCUUCCCUGGNCCCUGAAGGGCCGUUGAAGACGACGACGUAGAUAGGCUGGGUGUGUAAGCGUAGCGAUACGUUGAGCUAACCAGUACUAAUGACCCGAGAGGCUUAACCUUACAACACCGAAGGUGUUU
Molecule: ribosomal RNA, 2923 nt
Filed under: Pectobacterium brasiliense
Lineage: Bacteria; Pseudomonadati; Pseudomonadota; Gammaproteobacteria; Enterobacterales; Pectobacteriaceae
Description: bacterial LSU rRNA
Rfam family: Bacterial large subunit ribosomal RNA
Source: RNAcentral